AGAGUUUGAUCCUGGCUCAGGAUGAACGCUAGCGAUAGGCUUAACACAUGCAAGUCGAGGGGCAGCACAUGAGUGGUAACACGAUGGUGGCGACCGGCGCACGGGUGAGUAACACGUAUGCAACCUGCCCAUAACUGGGGGAUAACCCGUCGAAAGGCGGACUAAUACCGCAUAACAACGCUGAUCCGCAUGGUGAAGCGUUUAAAGAUUUAUCGGUUAUGGAUGGGCAUGCGUUCCAUUAGAUUGUUGGUAGGGUAACGGCCUACCAAGUCUGCGAUGGAUAGGGGUUCUGAGAGGAAGGUCCCCCACACUGGUACUGAGACACGGACCAGACUCCUACGGGAGGCAGCAGUGAGGAAUAUUGGUCAAUGGGCGAGAGCCUGAACCAGCCAAAUCGCGUGAAGGAUGAAGGUAUUAUGUAUUGUAAACUUCUUUUGUCAGGGAAUAAAGUGCGGGACGUGUCCCGUUUUGUAUGUACCUGAAGAAUAAGGAUCGGCUAACUCCGUGCCAGCAGCCGCGGUAAUACGGAGGAUCCAAGCGUUAUCCGGAUUUAUUGGGUUUAAAGGGUGCGUAGGCGGACCUUUAAGUCAGCGGUGAAAGUUCCCGGCUCAACCGGGGAAUUGCCGUUGAAACUAUUGGUCUUGAGUGUAGAUGAGGUGGGCGGAAUUCGUAGUGUAGCGGUGAAAUGCUUAGAUAUUACGAAGAACUCCAAUUGCGUAGGCAGCUCACUAGGCUACAACUGACGCUGAGGCACGAAGGUGCGGGGAUCAAACAGGAUUAGAUACCCUGGUAGUCC
This 796-nucleotide ribosomal RNA is filed under the name uncultured bacterium. RNAcentral's name for it is "bacterial SSU rRNA". It matches the Rfam family "Bacterial small subunit ribosomal RNA", at positions 8 to 796 of the family's 1533-position model. The record is from RNAcentral.